Molecule: small RNA, 127 nt
Filed under: Marmota monax (woodchuck)
Lineage: Eukaryota; Metazoa; Chordata; Mammalia; Rodentia; Sciuridae
Source: RNAcentral
UCUGGGUAUGGUGGCACAUGCCUGUAAUCCCAGUGACUCAGGAAGCUGAGGCAGGAGGAUUGCGAGUUCAAAGCCAGCCUCAGCAACUUAGCCAGGCUCUGAGGAACUCAGUGAGACCCUGUCUCAA